GCACCUGUAGCUCAACUGGAUAGAGCAUCAGCCUUCGGAGCUGAGGGUUGGGGGUUCGACUCCCUCCAGGUGCACAA
This 77-nucleotide transfer RNA is filed under the name Ignavibacteriota bacterium. Its description in RNAcentral is "Ignavibacteriae bacterium tRNA-Arg". It matches the Rfam family "tRNA". From Rfam's summary of the family: Transfer RNA (tRNA) molecules are approximately 80 nucleotides in length. Their secondary structure includes four short double-helical elements and three loops (D, anti-codon, and T loops). Further hydrogen bonds mediate the characteristic L-shaped molecular structure. tRNAs have two regions of fundamental functional importance: the anti-codon, which is responsible for specific mRNA codon recognition, and the 3' end, to which the tRNAs corresponding amino acid is attached (by aminoacyl-tRNA synthetases). tRNAs cope with the degeneracy of the genetic code in two manners: having more than one tRNA (with a specific anti-codon) for a particular amino acid; and 'wobble' base-pairing, i.e. permitting non-standard base-pairing at the 3rd anti-codon position. The record is from RNAcentral. Lineage: Bacteria; Pseudomonadati; Ignavibacteriota.